Molecule: long non-coding RNA, 2880 nt
Organism: Equus caballus (horse)
Lineage: Eukaryota; Metazoa; Chordata; Mammalia; Perissodactyla; Equidae
Source: RefSeq, a predicted model, not a curated record
GGUUGGCAACUGGUGAUCUGGACACAUGUCAGAUUUCAGGGUAAGUUUCACAGAGCUUUAUUGCCUCCCUCUGGACCCCUGUCAGAGAACAACAAGACGUGAGGCUUAGCUUAAUAAGCACGCUGGCGUUAGUCAGCUGCUCUGCCAGUGCACGUCGUGAGUGCUCUAUCUUUCUCAUCUUAGAGCUUUUUACUCCAUCCGCUUGGUGGGAGAGGGACUCUGCAUCAUCGGCAGCAUUUUACAGCUUUGGACUAUUUCAUGGAGUUAUGAAAAUAGAGAGGAAAACAAAAUAAAACAGAAGUGAAUUCAUUCUACUCCUUGCCAAGUGAUCUGGUAGUUUUAGAAUGUGUGUUGAACUCUGAAAAGAACAGAAUUGCAGCCUCUACCUAUUCCGAAGAUCAUCUAAUAGAACGCUACCCGGCUUCUCACCCCUCUUUAUAAAAUGAUGACAUACUUCACCCUCUGUUAGAAAGCUCCCCUGGUGUAAAUCAUUAAACUCACUAUAAUUCUACCCAGUUUACAAAUUUUAACUGGCGUCACCAGUGAAUUUACUCUCUCUCCUAAACGCUCCUCCUCAUCUCCUUUUGCAGAGUAUUUGGCAUUUUAGGGACCUAACAGAAAGUCAGUAGAUUAUUAUUCACUUAAUAUUAGCUCAAUGCAAAGAGAGUGUGGUGCUUUGGUUAUUUUCCUGGCUUUGUCAGCUGAAAGGCUCCAGAUGACAUCCCUGCAGCAAUGAACAGAACCCAUGGCUAGAUCUUGGUUUCUAAAUACCUUUCUCUACCCAAAUGAGCACAUGGCUGUAUUUAUGACUUUGACAAGUGCUGUCCACUCCUGAGUGUGUGGGAGAGGCACUGUGAUCAAGCGGACAGAAGGUCCUGGGCAUGGAGUUAGCGGUCUGGUUUCAUGACUCACCAGCCCAGUGAACAUGAGCAAGUCAGAUUAUUUAUGAGGGGUGGUCAGUAUUUUUUAUUGUGAAAUAAGAGGCUUGGACUUGCUUCUUGCAAUCCCUUCUCUACUCCGUAGCCAGAGCAAUCUUUUUGAAAGGUGAAUUUGAUCAUAUCGCUUCCACCUAUUGACCGGCUCCGCAUUGCUCCCAGGAGAAAGCCCACCCUCUGUAACAUGAUAUAAAAUGGUCCCUGCUCAUCAUUUUUGAGCAGCAUUCUGCUCUUGAUCCGCUCCCACCAUAUAUUCCUUAGGCUGUGUGAUGCAAACUUAUGGGCUAACCCGAGGCUCCUUUUUGUGUUGCGCUUUCUCACCUCCGCAUCUUUGCUCAUGCUAUUCCUUAGAAAGGGUAGUUUUUCCUCCUCCUCUUCCUUUCGCCUAUCUACCUCUCUCUUACCUGUCAUUUCCUCCAGAAUGCUUUCCUCAAGCCCACAGACUAAAUUAAAUGCUUCCUCUGUGUGUCUCUUUAGCCUGUGCACUGUGUUGUAAUUUCCUGUACUUCCUGGUCUGUCCCACUAGUCUCUGAGCAGUUGGAAACUCUCCCUUAGUCAGUGCCAUAUCCCUAGGGCCUAACACAAGCCUAGCACUGGUAAUGGACUCAAAUAUUUGUUAAAUGAAUUAAAGAUCAUUCUCUCUUUUUUGAACCUCAGCUUCCUCAUCCUUUAUGUGAAAAUAAUAUGUAUCUCAUCAUAGGCGAUGAGGAUUGCCUAAGGCAGGACUUGAAAAAACACUUUGCUAAUAGGAGUCAUUGUACCUGUGUAAGAUGGGAUGGAAGACUUGUCUUCUUUCUGGUACGCGCACAAUUUCCUCUAAACCACCGUUGGCAAACUGUGAUCCAUAGGUCAGCUCCAAUCCACAUCCUGUUUCUGUAUUACCCACGAGUUAAGAAUGGUUUUUAAAUUUUUAAGUGAUUACAUAAAAUCAAAAGAAGAAUGUGUCAUGACGUGGGGAAAUUGUAUGAAAUGCAAAUUUCAAGGUCCAUGAAUAGGUUUCUUGAGACAAAGCCAUGCUCAUCUGCUAUGUGCCAUGGCUGUGUUUGCGUUGCAACGGCAGAGCUGAGUAGCUAUGGCGGAGAUCUUAUGGCCCACAAAGCCUAAGAUAUUUACCCUCUGGCCUUUAAUAGAUCGCAUUUGCCAACUCCUACCUUAAACCCCAAACUUCUUCUCUCUCCUCACUCCCAACCUCUGCUUUGAGCUUGGGUUCCAAUUUGAUGUCUUAGCCUUGGAGACAUUUGAUAUUUCCUCAAGAAUCUAGAGAGAAAGAGUUAUUUCUUAUUUAUCCUGAAAAAAAUGUUUGAGUAUCUAAGCAGAACACAGCUGGGUGUUUCCCCAGAGAUAUUUCAUAUUUGGGCAUGUAUAAUGUGGUAAAUUUAGGAAGAAAAUUACUGAGUUCCCCUGCAAACGAUCUCAUUACUCAGGUUACUUGUUAAAGGAAGGGCUCCUUCUGUUUUUUUUUCUGAUUAAUAUCUGAGUUUGAAAUUUGUUGACAUGCGUAUUUUUUUCUUGGCAUGGGGCUUCCCUUUUGUUUCAUCUUUUAAGAGAAAUUCAUGGACAGAAACUAUAAGCUAAAGCAGUUCCCACUUUAAGAAUGAGGGGCUGGGGGCAUUACAAUUAGAGUAGAUUCGGUGACAUGGUUGGAAGCGAUGGGAGAGAGAAAGGAGAGAAAGAGACAGAAAGAAGGAAAGGAGAGAGAGAGGUGAGAGAGAGAGAGAGAAAGGAGAGGUGGAGAACGCAGCUAAGAAGAGCAAUGGUUAUCUAAUGAGAAGGCAGGCAAGCUAGAAAUCCUAUUUAGGAAGCUGGGAGCCCAGGGAGAUUAAAGGACAGUACCUCAGGAGUCAGCCUGGCUCUGUGAGGGAGAGGCCCAAGGACAUUUUUGUGGUACUUAGAUGGUUUCCUGCAGAAUCUCUGUAACUGGCAUCUGAGUCUCUCCUGUUCUGUC